RNAcentral lists this ribosomal RNA (535 nucleotides) under Trichosporon sp. YS72. Its description in RNAcentral is "eukaryotic LSU rRNA". It matches the Rfam family "Eukaryotic large subunit ribosomal RNA", at positions 81 to 623 of the family's 3401-position model. Lineage: Eukaryota; Fungi; Basidiomycota; Tremellomycetes; Trichosporonales; Trichosporonaceae. The record is from RNAcentral.
UAGUAACGGCGAGUGAAGCGGGAAGAGCUCAAAUUUGAAAUCUGGCAGUCUUCGAUUGUCCGAGUUGUAAUCUAUAGAGGCGUUUUCCGUGCCGGACCGUGUCCAAGUCUCCUGGAAAGGAGUAUCAAAGAGGGUGAUAAUCCCGUACUUAACACGACCACCGGUGCUCUGUGAUACGUCUUCUACGAGUCGAGUUGUUUGGGAAUGCAGCUCAAAAUGGGUGGUGAAUUCCAUCUAAAGCUAAAUAUUGGCGAGAGACCGAUAGCGAACAAGUACCGUGAGGGAAAGAUGAAAAGCACUUUGGAAAGAGAGUUAAACAGUACGUGAAAUUGUUGAAAGGGAAACGAUUGAAGUCAGUCGUGUUCUUUGGAUUCAGCCAGUUCUGCUGGUCUACUUCCUUGGAACGGGUCAACAUCAGUUUUGUCCGGUGGAUAAAGGUAGUAGGAAUGUGACUUCUCCGGAAGUGUUAUAGCCUAUUAUCACAUACACUGGGUGAGACUGAGGACUGCAGCUCGCCUUUAUGGCCGGCCUUCGC